RNAcentral lists this ribosomal RNA (742 nucleotides) under uncultured bacterium. RNAcentral's name for it is "bacterial SSU rRNA". It matches the Rfam family "Bacterial small subunit ribosomal RNA", at positions 8 to 796 of the family's 1533-position model. The record is from RNAcentral.
AGAGUUUGAUCAUGGCUCAGAACGAACGCUGGCGGCGUGGAUUAGGCAUGCAAGUCGAACGCGACCUUCGGGUCGAGUGGCGCACGGGUGAGUAACGCGUGGGAAUCUGCCCUGUGGUACGGAAUAACAUCGGGAAACUGGUGCUAAUACCGUAUAUCCCCUGAGGGGGAAAGAUUUAUCGCCAUGGGAGGAGCCCGCGUAGGAUUAGCUAGUUGGUGAGGUAACGGCUCACCAAGGCGACGAUCCUUAGCUGGUCUGAGAGGAUGAUCAGCCACACUGGGACUGAGACACGGCCCAGACUCCUACGGGAGGCAGCAGUGGGGAAUAUUGGACAAUGGGGGAAACCCUGAUCCAGCCAUGCCGCGUGUGUGAUGAAGGCCUUCGGGUUGUAAAGCACUUUCGCACGUGACGAUGAUGACGGUAACGUGAGAAGAAGCCCCGGCUAACUUCGUGCCAGCAGCCGCGGUAAUACGAAGGGGGCAAGCGUUGUUCGGAAUUACUGGGCGUAAAGGGCGCGUAGGCGGUGUACUAAGUUAGGCGUGAAAGCCCUGGGCUCAACCCGGGAAUUGCGCUUGAUACUGGUACGCUAGAAUCCAGGAGAGGUUGGUGGAAUUCCCAGUGUAGAGGUGAAAUUCGUAGAGAUUGGGAAGAACACCGGUGGCGAAGGCGGCCAACUGGACUGGUAUUGACGCUGAGGCGCGAAAGCGUGGGGAGCAAACAGGAUUAGAUACCCUAGUAGUCC